GCGGUCAUCGACAAGGACUUUGCCAGCUCCCUGCUGGCGAAAGAACUGGAUGCGGACGUGCUGAUCAUCCUGACAGCC
Molecule: transfer RNA, 78 nt
Filed under: Anaerostipes caccae
Lineage: Bacteria; Bacillati; Bacillota; Clostridia; Lachnospirales; Lachnospiraceae
Description: tRNA-Gly(ccc)
Source: RNAcentral